CCGCGUCCGCCGUGUUCGCGUGAGUCUUAUAUUUCCUUGAACCGAUGGUCUAUGACCAAGGGCUUGGAACAUUGCCUGGCUGGUGUGAGCGUCUCGCGUCAGACGAACCCGAAGCCAGGCUGACCUCGCCCACCUGAACUUCCCCUUGGGUUCAGGAAUGCGGCUCACGGUUCGCGGCGGACACCCU
Non-coding RNA from Rubrivivax sp. SCN 70-15, 187 nucleotides. Lineage: Bacteria; Pseudomonadati; Pseudomonadota; Betaproteobacteria; Burkholderiales; Sphaerotilaceae. The record is from Rfam.